AACGAACGCUGGCGGCAUGCCUAACACAUGCAAGUCGAACGAGACCUUCGGGUCUAGUGGCGCACGUGUGCGUAACGCGUGGGAACCUGCCCUUAGGUUCGGAAUAACUCCCCGAAAGGGGUGCUAAUACCGGAUAAUGUCUUCGGACCAAAGAUUUAUCGCCUUUGGAUGGGCCCGCGUUGGAUUAGCUAGUUGGUAGGGUAAAAGCCUACCAAGGCGACGAUCCAUAGCUGGUCUGAGAGGAUGAUCAGCCACACUGGGACUGAGACACGGCCCAGACUCCUACGGGAGGCAGUAGUGGGGAAUAUUGGACAAUGGGCGAAAGCAUGAUCCAGCAAUGCCGCGUGAGUGAUGAAGGCCUUAGGGUUGUAAAGCUCUUUUACCCGGGAUGAUAAUGACAGUACCGGGAGAAUAAGCUCCGGCUAACUCCGUG
Molecule: ribosomal RNA, 433 nt
Filed under: uncultured bacterium
Lineage: Bacteria
Description: partial 16S ribosomal RNA
Rfam family: Bacterial small subunit ribosomal RNA
Source: RNAcentral